Molecule: ribosomal RNA, 2082 nt
Filed under: Pseudidiomarina terrestris
Lineage: Bacteria; Pseudomonadati; Pseudomonadota; Gammaproteobacteria; Alteromonadales; Idiomarinaceae
Description: partial 23S ribosomal RNA
Rfam family: Bacterial large subunit ribosomal RNA
Source: RNAcentral
GGUUAAGUGACGAAGCGUAGACGGUGGAUGCCUAGGCAGUUGGAGGCGAUGAAGGACGUACUAACUUGCGAUAAGCCAUGAUGAGGCAGUAAGAGCCGCAUGAGUCAUGGAUUUCCGAAUGGGGAAACCCAGUGUGCUUGCACACUAUCCUUAACUGAAUUCAUAGGUUAAGGAAGCGAACCCGGAGAACUGAAACAUCUAAGUACCCGGAGGAAAAGAAAUCAACCGAGAUUUCCCUAGUAGCGGCGAGCGAACGGGAAUUAGCCCUUAAGCAAUCAUGGUGUUAGUGGAAUGAGCUGGAAAGCUCGACGAUACAGGGUGAUAGUCCCGUACACGACGAUGCCAUGGAUGUGAAAACGAGUAGGUCGGGACACGUGUUAUCUUGACUGAAUAUGGGGGGACCAUCCUCCAAGGCUAAAUACUCCCAACUGACCGAUAGUGAACCAGUACCGUGAGGGAAAGGCGAAAAGAACCCCGGCGAGGGGAGUGAAAUAGAACCUGAAACCGUCUACGUACAAGCAGUAGGAGCACCUUCGUGGUGUGACUGCGUACCUUUUGUAUAAUGGGUCAGCGACUUAUAUUUUGUAGCAAGGUUAACCGAAUAGGGGAGCCGUAGGGAAACCGAGUCUUAACUGGGCGCUUAGUUGCAAGGUAUAGACCCGAAACCGGGCGAUCUAGCCAUGGGCAGGUUGAAGAUUGAGUAACAUCAAUUGGAGGACCGAACUCACUAAUGUUGAAAAAUUAGGAGAUGACCUGUGGCUCGGAGUGAAAGGCUAAUCAAGCCCGGAGAUAGCUGGUUCUCCCCGAAAGCUAUUUAGGUAGCGCCUCGGACGAAUACCACUGGGGGUAGAGCACUGUUUGGGCUAGGGGGUCAUCCCGACUUACCAACCCCAUGCAAACUCCGAAUACCAGUGAGUACUAUCCGGGAGACACACGGCGGGUGCUAACGUCCGUCGUGAAGAGGGAAACAACCCAGACCGCCAGCUAAGGUCCCGAAGUCAUGGCUAAGUGGGAAACGAUGUGGGAAGGCUCAGACAGCUAGGAGGUUGGCUUAGAAGCAGCCACCCUUUAAAGAAAGCGUAAUAGCUCACUAGUCGAGUCGGCCUGCGCGGAAGAUGUAACGGGGCUAAGCCAUGCACCGAAGCUGCGGCUACAUACUAUGUAUGUGGGGUAGGGGAGCGUUCUGUAAGCCGUUGAAGGUGGAUUGAGAAGUCUGCUGGAGGUAUCAGAAGUGCGAAUGCUGACAUGAGUAACGAUAAUGGGAGUGAAAAACUCCCACGCCGGAAGACCAAGGUUUCCUAUCCCAUGCUAAUCAGGGUAGGGUAAGUCGGCCCCUAAGGCGAGGCCGAGAGGCGUAGUCGAUGGGAAUCAGGUUAAUAUUCCUGAACCGAUAUAUACUGCGAUGGGGGGACGGAGAAGGCUAGGCAAGCCGGGUGUUGGUAAUCCCGGUGAAAGUAUGUAGGUUGGCGGCUUAGGUAAAUCCGGGCUGCUAAGACUGAGAUACGAGACGAGUACCUACGGGUGCGAAGUUGUUGAUGCCAUGCUUCCAGGAAAAGCCUCUAAGCUUCAGGUAUAUAUUGACCGUACCCGAAACCGACACAGGUGGUCAGGUAGAGAAUACUAAGGCGCUUGAGAGAACUCGGGUGAAGGAACUAGGCAAAAUAGUACCGUAACUUCGGGAGAAGGUACGCCAGAGCUAGUGAACCCCUUGCGGGGGGAGCUGGAGCUGGCCGCAGUGACCAGGUGGCUGGGACUGUUUAUUAAAAACACAGCACUCUGCAAACACGAAAGUGGACGUAUAGGGUGUGACACCUGCCCGGUGCCGGAAGGUUAAUUGAUGGGGUUAGCGUAAGCGAAGCUCUUGAUCGAAGCCCCGGUAAACGGCGGCCGUAACUAUAACGGUCCUAAGGUAGCGAAAUUCCUUGUCGGGUAAGUUCCGACCUGCACGAAUGGUGUAACCAUGGCCACGCUGUCUCCACCCGAGACUCAGUGAAAUUGAAAUCGCCGUGAAGAUGCGGUGUACCCGCGGCUAGACGGAAAGACCCCGUGAACCUUUACUACAGCUUGGCACUGAACAUUGAA